RNAcentral lists this ribosomal RNA (431 nucleotides) under uncultured bacterium. RNAcentral describes it as "partial 16S ribosomal RNA". It matches the Rfam family "Bacterial small subunit ribosomal RNA", at positions 29 to 507 of the family's 1533-position model. The record is from RNAcentral.
AACGAACGCUGGCGGCAGGCUUAACACAUGCAAGUCGAGCGCCCCGCAAGGGGAGCGGCAGACGGGUGAGUAACGCGUGGGAACGUACCUUUUGGUUCGGAACAACUCCGGGAAACUGGAGCUAAUACCGGAUAAGCCCUAACGGGGAAAGAUUUAUCGCCGAAAGAUCGGCCCGCGUCUGAUUAGCUAGUUGGUGAGGUAACGGCUCACCAAGGCGACGAUCAGUAGCUGGUCUGAGAGGAUGAUCAGCCGCACUGGGACUGAGACACGGCCCAGACUCCUACGGGAGGCAGCAGUGGGGAAUAUUGGACAAUGGGCGCAAGCCUGAUCCAGCCAUGCCGCGUGAGUGAUGAAGGCCUUAGGGUUGUAAAGCUCUUUUGUCCGGGAAGAUAAUGACUGUACCGGAAGAAUAAGCCCCGGCUAACUUCGUG